UCCUGGGUGGCUCAGUUGGUUGAGCGUCUGACUUCAGCUCAGGUCAUGAUCUCACAGUUUGUGGGUUCAAGCCCCGCGUCGGGCU
This 85-nucleotide transfer RNA is filed under the name Felis catus (domestic cat). It matches the Rfam family "tRNA". From Rfam's summary of the family: Transfer RNA (tRNA) molecules are approximately 80 nucleotides in length. The record is from Rfam by way of RNAcentral. Lineage: Eukaryota; Metazoa; Chordata; Mammalia; Carnivora; Felidae.